AGCGAACGCUGGCGGCAGGCUUAACACAUGCAAGUCGAGCGGGCAUCCUUGUGGUGUCAGCGGCAGACGGGUGAGUAACGCGUGGGAACGUGCCCUUCGGUUCGGAAUAACUCAGGGAAACUUGAGCUAAUACCGGAUACGUGCGAGAGCAGAAAGGUUUAUCUGCCGAAGGAUCGGCCCGCGUCUGAUUAGCUAGUUGGUGAGGUUACGGCUCACCAAGGCGACGAUCAGUAGCUGGUCUGAGAGGAUGAUCAGCCACACUGGGACUGAGACACGGCCCAGACUCCUACGGGAGGCAGCAGUGGGGAAUAUUGGACAAUGGGGGCAACCCUGAUCCAGCCAUGCCGCGUGAGUGAUGACGGCCUUAGGGUUGUAAAGCUCUUUUCUCCGGGACGAUAAUGACGGUACUGGAGGAAUAAGCCCCGGCUAACUUCGUG
This 437-nucleotide ribosomal RNA is filed under the name uncultured bacterium. RNAcentral describes it as "partial 16S ribosomal RNA". It matches the Rfam family "Bacterial small subunit ribosomal RNA", at positions 29 to 507 of the family's 1533-position model. The record is from RNAcentral.